GCUCAAGCCACGAGCCGAAGCUUAAGGUUUGCACUUUGUGCAAGCGGUAGCGGAGCGUUCCAUAAGCCAACGAAGGCGGACCCGUGAGGGCUGCUGGAGGUAUUGGAAGUGCGAAUGCUGACAUGAGUAACGACAAACAGUGUGAAAGACACUGUCGCCGAAAGUCCAAGGGUUCCUGCGUAAAGUUAAUCUCCGCAGGGUUAGCCGGCCCCUAAGGCGAGGCCGAAAGGCGUAGUCGAUGGGAAUGAGGUGAAUAUUCCUCAGCCAGCUGGUAGUGACGGAUCUCGUACGCUGUCGGACCUUAUUGGAUUGGUCCGGCUUCCAAGAGGUUCCAGGAAAUAGCUCCAGCAAUAGACCGUACCCUAAACCGACACAGGUGGACUGGUAGAGUAUACCAAGGCGCUUGAGAGAACUAUGCUGAAGGAACUCGGCAAUUUACCUCCGUAACUUCGGGAUAAGGAGGCCCAGUGUUCAGGCAACUGUUCAUUGGGGGCACAGACCAGGGGGUAGCGACUGUUUAACUAAAACACAGGGCUCUGCGAAAUCGCAAGAUGACGUAUAGGGUCUGACGCCUGCCCGGUGCCGGAAGGUUAAAAGGAGGUGUGCAAGCACCGAAUUGAAGCCCCGGUAAACGGCGGCCGUAACUAUAACGGUCCUAAGGUAGCGAAAUUCCUUGUCGGGUAAGUUCCGACCUGCACGAAUGGCGUAACGACUUCCCCGCUGUCUCCAGCAUAGACUCAGUGAAAUUGAAUUCCCCGUGAAGAUGCGGGGUUCCUGCGGUCAGACGGAAAGACCCCGUGCACCUUUACUGUAGCUUUGCGCUGGCAUUCGUGUCGGCAUGUGUAGGAUAGGUGGUAGACUUUGAAGCCGGGGCGCCAGCUCUGGUGGAGUCAUCCUUGAAAUACCACCCUUAUCGUCAUGGAUGUCUAACCGCGACCCGUCAUCCGGGUCCGAGACAGCGCAUGGCAGGCAGUUUGACUGGGGCGGUCGCCUCCCAAAGAGUAACGGAGGCGUGCGAAGGUGGGCUCAGAGCGGUCGGAAAUCGCUCGUUGAGUGCAAUGGCAUAAGCCUGCCUGACUGCGAGACUGACAAGUCGAGCAGAGUCGAAA
This 1109-nucleotide ribosomal RNA is filed under the name plant metagenome. RNAcentral's name for it is "bacterial LSU rRNA". It matches the Rfam family "Bacterial large subunit ribosomal RNA", at positions 1180 to 2404 of the family's 2925-position model. The record is from RNAcentral.